Molecule: ribosomal RNA, 253 nt
Filed under: uncultured bacterium
Lineage: Bacteria
Description: partial 16S ribosomal RNA
Rfam family: Archaeal small subunit ribosomal RNA
Source: RNAcentral
UACCAGCACCCCGAGUGGUCGGGGCGUUUAUUGGGCCUAAAGCAUCCGUAGCCGGUCCUACAAGUCUUCCGUUAAAUCCACCUGCUUAACAGAUGGGCUGCGGAAGAUACUAUAGGGCUAGGAGGCGGGAGAGGCAAGCGGUACUCAGUGGGUAGGGGUAAAAUCCUCUGAUCCAAUGAAGACCACCAGUGGCGAAGGCGGCUUGCCAGAACGCGCUCGACGGUGAGGGAUGAAAGCUGGGGGAGCAAACCGG